UACGGAGGGUGCGAGCGUUACCCGGAUUUACUGGGUGUAAAGGGCGUGUAGGCGGUCUCUCAAGUCCGAUGCUAAAGACCGAAGCUCAACUUCGGGGGUGCGUUGGAUACUGUGAGGCUAGACGGUCGGAGAGGGUAGCGGAAUUUCCGGAGUAGCGGUGAAAUGCGCAGAUACCGGAAGGAACGCCAAUAGCGAAGGCAGCUACCUGGACGAUUUGUGACGCUGAGGCGCGAAAGCGUGGGGAGCAAACCGG
Molecule: ribosomal RNA, 253 nt
Filed under: uncultured bacterium
Lineage: Bacteria
Description: partial 16S ribosomal RNA
Rfam family: Bacterial small subunit ribosomal RNA
Source: RNAcentral